GCCGGGUGCGGUGGCGCGUGCCUAUAGUCCCAGCUACUCUGGGAGGCUGAGGUGGGAGGGUCGCUUGAGCCCAGGAGUUCUAGGCUGUAGUGCGCUAUGCCGAUCGGGUGUCCGCACUGAGUUCGGCAUCAAUAUGAUGACCUCCCGGGAGUGAGGGACCACCAGGUUGCCUAAGGAGGGGUGAACCGGCCCAGGUCAGAAACAGAGAAGGUCAAAACUCCCUUGCUGAUCAGUAGUGGGAUCUCACCUGUGAAUAGCCACUGCACUCCAGCCUGGGCAACAUAGCGAGACCUUGUCUCU
This 300-nucleotide signal recognition particle RNA is filed under the name Aotus nancymaae (Ma's night monkey). Its description in RNAcentral is "Metazoan signal recognition particle RNA (ENSANAG00000008361.1)". It matches the Rfam family "Metazoan signal recognition particle RNA". Rfam says of the family: The signal recognition particle (SRP) is a universally conserved ribonucleoprotein. It is involved in the co-translational targeting of proteins to membranes. The record is from RNAcentral. Lineage: Eukaryota; Metazoa; Chordata; Mammalia; Primates; Aotidae.